RNAcentral lists this ribosomal RNA (404 nucleotides) under Fusobacteriota bacterium. RNAcentral's name for it is "Fusobacteria bacterium partial 16S ribosomal RNA". It matches the Rfam family "Bacterial small subunit ribosomal RNA", at positions 355 to 776 of the family's 1533-position model. Lineage: Bacteria; Fusobacteriati; Fusobacteriota. The record is from RNAcentral.
UGGGGAAUAUUGCACAAUGGAGGGAACUCUGAUGCAGCGACGCCGCGUGAGUGAUGAAGGAAUUCGUUUCGUAAAACUCUGUUCUAUGGGAAGAAAAGGACUGUACCAUAGGAGAAAGCUCCGGCUAAAUACGUGCCAGCAGCCGCGGUAAUACGUAUGGAGCGAGCGUUGUCCGGAAUUAUUGGGCGUAAAGGGUGCGCAGGCGGCUUUACAAGUUGGAUGUGAAAUAUUGUGGCUCAACCACAAACGUGCAUCCAAAACUGCAAAGCUUGAGUUAAGGAGAGGUAAGUGGAAUUCCUGGUGUAGCGGUGGAAUGCGUAGAUAUCAGGAGGAAUACCGGUGGAGAAGGCGACUUACUGGACUUAAACUGACGCUCAGGCACGAAAGCGUGGGGAGCAAACAGG